Molecule: ribosomal RNA, 253 nt
Filed under: uncultured bacterium
Lineage: Bacteria
Description: partial 16S ribosomal RNA
Rfam family: Bacterial small subunit ribosomal RNA
Source: RNAcentral
UACAGAGGUCCCAAGCGUUGUUCGGAUUCACUGGGCUUAAAGGGCGCGUAGGCGGGUGGUCAAGUCAGGGGUGAAAUCUUUCAGCUCAACUGGAAAAUAGCUUCUGAUACUGGCCGUCUUGAGGGAGGUAGGGGCAUGUGGAACUUCCGGUGGAGCGGUGAAAUGCGUAGAUAUCGGAAGGAACGCCGGUGGCGAAAGCGACGUGCUGGACCUUUUCUGACGCUGAGGCGCGAAAGCCAGGGGAGCAAACGGG